AUAGCUUGCUAUCUGCUGACGAGCGGCGGACGGGUGAGUAAUGCUUGGGAAUAUGCCAUAUGGUGGGGGACAACAGUUGGAAACGACUGCUAAUACCGCAUAACGUCUACGGACCAAAGAGGGGGACCUUCGGGCCUCUUGCCAUUUGAUUAGCCCAAGUGAGAUUAGCUAGUUGGUGAGGUAAUGGCUCACCAAGGCGACGAUCUCUAGCUGGUUUGAGAGGAUGAUCAGCCACACUGGGACUGAGACACGGCCCAGACUCCUACGGGAGGCAGCAGUGGGGAAUAUUGCACAAUGGGCGAAAGCCUGAUGCAGCCAUGCCGCGUGUGUGAAGAAGGCCUUCGGGUUGUAAAGCACUUUCAGUUGUGAGGAAAGGGGUGUAGUUAAUAGCUGCAUCCUGUGACGUUAACAACAGAAGAAGCACCGGCUAUCUCCGUGCCAGCAGCCGCGGUAAUACGGAGGGUGCGAGCGUUAAUCGGAAUUACUGGGCGUAAAGCGUGCGUA
RNAcentral lists this ribosomal RNA (504 nucleotides) under uncultured bacterium. RNAcentral's name for it is "bacterial SSU rRNA". It matches the Rfam family "Bacterial small subunit ribosomal RNA", at positions 75 to 573 of the family's 1533-position model. The record is from RNAcentral.